This is a long non-coding RNA of Paramormyrops kingsleyae, 2012 nucleotides long. RefSeq lists it as uncharacterized. The record is from RefSeq and is a predicted model, not a curated record. NCBI's taxonomy places the organism in Eukaryota, Metazoa, Chordata, Actinopteri, Osteoglossiformes, Mormyridae.
AGCAGGAGCAAGUAGCGGAGGGUGGAGACGGGAGGGGAGAGCAGGGGAGAGAGGAGAGAGAGAAGGGGGGUUAGCAGAGGUGGGGCUGCAGAGGGAGGGGGGACAGACACAGGCAGCCUUUCGCGGGAACAGGAAAUCUCUCACUCUCAGCUGGCAACAAACAAAUGUGCUUCACAGAAAAUAGAAUGGAUUCUGAACGCACCACUACACCAAAGCCUUCCAAGUUGCACCAUUAGGGGAUUUAAUUUUCCCGUACAAAGCAGUGCGUGAAAUUAGCCCAUUGACAAGGUAUUUUUUACUCAGUCCAUUCCACAUAGUCACCUUCCUGAGACCCGAGAGCGACGGACAUUAGCGAGCACCGUGCUGUGCUGUACUGAUGGGUGGCUAACGGACGGCGAUCGUCCGUGCUUCCCAAGCGCCGCCACCGACAAAAUGGCUGCGGGGGAAAUCAACUGCAACCCAGAGCCUUCUUCAGAGAUAAGCCAGGCACCUUUUGACAGAUGGCCUUUUCACCAGCACUUAUUUAAAAUGGCAAGCGGAGGGUAAAUUAGAUCGGCGACCUCUGCAGAUGAGAAAUAUCGAACGGGACAGUGACGUGUAAUCAAGGAUAUAACAUAGAGCUGGAAACUGCAUAGAAUCACUAUGUGUGUCACUUUCUAGAAGAUGCCAAACUGGCAAGGCUUUGCUCAGUCUGUCUGGUUUAUCCUGGAAAAACUAUGAUUUAAAUCAAGCACUACUGUGUAAUUAUGGUUAAUAAAAUAAUAAUGAUAAUGAUAAUAAAAAAUUUACAGAAAUGCUUUACAAGAUAAGCGGUAGAUUUUCAGUUGACCUUCAUAUCGUUUUAUAUUAAUAUUUGUAGUAUUUGUAUCUGUAGCUCACUCUUAGAAUAGACUGGAAAAAAGCAUAUUAACUUUCUGGGCACCAUGAAUUGAGUCUGCAGCUGUGUGCUAGUAACUGAUGUCAGCCUAUGGCCGCCCACAGGGCCCAGAGGACGGAACAGAAGGAGAGGAGUCGUCUCUGCAGAUGCCUGCUCUGCAUUCCUAAGUACUCCUUUUUUCUGUCGCUUUGCUUUUGACAGGCUUGUACGCAGACUGAAGACCGCGUCUGAUACCUUGGAGGUGCCCUGGAACUGCUGUGCAUACACUGAUAUCCGGUUCCUCCCCCCACAGGUCAAAAUUACUCUGAACCAAGUCGAACUGGGCAGCUUCCCUUCAAACACAGCUGACUGAUUUCUGUGCCAGACCAUGCUGUGUUGUGGCUAAGAUCCCAAUAUUUCCUGUAAUGUUGAUACUUCAGCAGUUUUACCUGAAGGCUUUUUUUAUAGAGGCCUUACCAUGGUAAAUGGCGCCACUGUUGCCACUGAGAUAGGACUCCACGAGCGGCGCCUGCUCCUCCGACUGCCUGGUCCUGCGGACACGCGAGCGUCCAUCUACAUUAGCCUGCACCAUCAGGGGUUCCUGCCGCUUCUUCUUCUGCUUCUGCUCCAGCAGGGCGCGCUGCAGGCAGGAACGCCAACAUACACACUGUACUAACAUUUUUGUGUAAGUAAAACUCCCAUGAGCAAAAGCAUCCAAACUGAAGUGAAGCAACGUGACGCAAAGGACAGCUGAGAUAAUCCACGGCCGGACUCUGCUACUCGCUGCUGACAAGGAGGAUACUGAUCAGACUGCUGAUUGCAGCUUUCCAAUCAGGGUGUGUGGCUCUGCGGGAGAGGAUGCAGUGCCUGUGAGCAGAAGGUCAUCACUGCUGGCACCUAGAGCAACCCGGAACCCGGAACCCGGAACCGCUCUGGGGACAGGCUGACCCCGCUUUCUCUAUUGUACAUCACUUCGGAUAAAAGCGUCUGUAAAUAAAUGCUGGUAGCACUGAGCUCAUGGGAGUUAGCUAGUGCUGGUCUAACCACUGUGUCUGGACCAAUGAAGACCCACCCAUUCUGCCAGGCCGCAGAGGAUGACAGGAGCCGGUGGCGGCCCAUGGGUUCUGCGCCGUUCACUCUUUCCACCCUGUCUGCC